UACGUAGGUGGCAAGCGUUGUCCGGAUUCACUGGGCGUAAAGAGCGCGCAGGCGGUCGUUCAAGUCGCGUGUGAAAGCCCCCGGCUCAACUGGGGAGGGUCACGCGAUACUGAUCGACUCGAAGGCAGGAGAGGGUAGUGGAAUUCCCGGUGUAGUGGUGAAAUGCGUAGAUGUCGGGAGGAACACCAGUGGCGAAGGCGACUACCUGGCCUGUUCUUGACGCUGAGGCGCGAAAGCUAGGGGAGCAAACGGG
Molecule: ribosomal RNA, 253 nt
Filed under: uncultured bacterium
Lineage: Bacteria
Description: partial 16S ribosomal RNA
Rfam family: Bacterial small subunit ribosomal RNA
Source: RNAcentral